ACUGAGGACCUGCUUAGCGUCAGCCCCGAGGCGGGGCUCCCCUCGGGUUGGUGCUGUCCUUUCCCCUGCGGCCUCUGCUCUGGCGGCAGUGCGAGGGCCGAGCUCCAGACACGUGCGGGAUGACUUGAAAGUAGGGCAUCCUUGGCCUUCCGGAAGAGAGUAAAUUCACGGCACGUGGACGGUCUGUAUGGCGUUCUCAGAUGCCUUUAUCUGAAUGAGAAAUGUGCCUCCAUCAGAAUCUCAGAUGUCUGACAGCCCUGUGUGACACCAGGAUAGGUAAUAUAUAUGCAAGCAGGGGAAGGACAGAUGAUCCAAAGUGGGCUCUGCACGGACAGCAGAGAGCUCAGCGCGGGGCUUGAACUCAUGAACUGCGAGAUCAUGACCUGAGCUGAAGUCAGACGCUUAACCGACUGAGCCACUCCAGCGCCCCUACCAUAUCCUUUUAAAAUAAAUUGGUAAAUUGAUAUUCAUGUAAAU
Long non-coding RNA from Neofelis nebulosa (Clouded leopard), 477 nucleotides. RefSeq lists it as uncharacterized. The transcript has 5 exons. Lineage: Eukaryota; Metazoa; Chordata; Mammalia; Carnivora; Felidae. The record is from RefSeq and is a predicted model, not a curated record.